GACGAACGCUGGCGGCGUGCCUAAUACAUGCAAGUAGAACGCUGAAGGAGGAGCUUGCUCUUCUGGAUGAGUUGCGAACGGGUGAGUAACGCGUAGGUAACCUGCCUGGUAGCGGGGGAUAACUAUUGGAAACGAUAGCUAAUACCGCAUAACAGUAGAUGUUGCAUGACAUUUGCUUAAAAGGUGCAAUUGCAUCACUACCAGAUGGACCUGCGUUGUAUUAGCUAGUUGGUGGGGUAACGGCUCACCAAGGCGACGAUACAUAGCCGACCUGAGAGGGUGAUCGGCCACACUGGGACUGAGACACGGCCCAGACUGCUACGGGAGGCAGCAGUAGGGAAUCUUCGGCAAUGGACGGAAGUCUGACCGAGCAACGCCGCGUGAGUGAAGAAGGUUUUCGGAUCGUAAAGCUCUGUUGUAAGAGAAGAACGAGUGUGAGAGUGGAAAGUUCACACUGUGACGGUAUCUUACCAGAAGGGGACGGCUAACUACGUG
Molecule: ribosomal RNA, 495 nt
Filed under: uncultured bacterium
Lineage: Bacteria
Description: partial 16S ribosomal RNA
Rfam family: Bacterial small subunit ribosomal RNA
Source: RNAcentral